This is a non-coding RNA of Varroa destructor (honeybee mite), 2927 nucleotides long. NCBI's taxonomy places the organism in Eukaryota, Metazoa, Arthropoda, Arachnida, Mesostigmata, Varroidae. The record is from RefSeq and is a predicted model, not a curated record.
CAGCAAAUAAAUAGAUAAUUUCACAUAUAUAUAUAUAUAUUCCGCAGAUGGUCUGCAUUAUUGUAUUUUUCGCUUAGAUUUACAUAUUGUUACGCCUGGAUUGUACGUACAUAAGCAACCCCUGCUAGUCUACAUUUUGUACGCUUUUUUAGGUUUAAAAUGAAAAAAAAAAAACUAAAGUGUUCAAACGCGUAAGUUAACGACGAACUAACUGCUAGAUUAGUGUCACUGCUUCAAAACAAGCACAUUUUUCUGAUGUCCACCACAGAAUCGUUAGAAUGUCUUUGCUAUACCGCUCUUUGCCUAAUCUUACUAACUCGUACCUCCUUAUGUUUGUUCACAACUUUCUUGAGCUCGACUGGAGCCUUCAUCAUUUAUCGUCAUUAAUAUUGUUUCGUGCUGGCUUCCAAGCGUACCCUUUCCUCACUGUUUACUCGAUGUAAGUAUACUUCAAGGACUUCACGCCAACCCUGCGUCGGCAUCACCUCUGCCAUCAUCAAGCGGACUAUUACCAUAGUCGUUAUUUUUGCUAAACUAAUUAUUAGUUUUUUUUUUCAUUUGGGAAUUCGUAAUACUGACACUGUUCGCACGCAGCGUAUCAUUUCCGUUCGCCGGCAAUCAUAAACAGUUGCGUGUUACGUCGAGGUACUGUGUACGUUCGUUCCGUGCUCUAAUGCCGCCGGGUGGUUUGUCGACAUCGAGGACGUCGUCCAAAACGAUCAAUCUUAAAUUGCAAUUGGAAACACUUACCAAACAAAACGGACCCGGUGACCAGCGCUAGACGGCUGGCCGCUUGUUGAAAGGCUUGCACACGGACGAUGCUGCCGUUGCGCCUUACGUGAAUAAACCAGACGUACGUUCUCGGUCACAACUUCGUUCCGAUAGAAAGACAUGAGAUAAAACGACAAACGAAAAUAUUGAUUUACACGACUAGGCGAUUUCUGGAUUGGCAGUAGGGACGUCGUUAUUUAGCUUGCAAUUUCUUUACUGUUGUAACAUUUGGGCGUAUGCAUCUUUUAAUAUAGAUACGUUUUUUGACGUUUUGUGCAUAGACGAUCGCGGUAACAGUAAGCACGAUUGCAUUGGCUAAAUCCUAAUUUUUGGGAAAACCAAAGUAUGUUUAUUCUCUGUAACUUGACGUCACAGACAUGUGUGUUUUAAGCCAGCCGUCAGUAUAUAUAAACGCGAAUUGGCUUAAGCUCAAUAGAAAACAGCUCAGUCGAAGGGGUGGACUCGUAAAGGUCCACAAUAUGGCGUGUAUGUCCUCGUUUUUUGCUCUUUUCACGUGCUUUAAAUGGCGCACAUCGUAGGAAACUUGCACCUCAAUAUGUGACCGCCAAAGUAGUCAUAUCGACGAGCACUUGAUCAGCCUCGAUCGUAACGCCGUGCAAUUUGGAUGUCUUCAAAAUGUAUUUGUGCAUUCACGUUACACGUAAACACUCAGAAACUGCUGGCAGCCGUUAACAUCAACAACACGUACAGCGUCUCCAGGCCUAAAGUUUCUAUUCUGUGUAUGUCGCAAGUUCCUUGAGCGUGCUUAUACCGAGUAGAAGAGAAUGAUGAUUUCGGGGCCAAGCUGUUCAACGCCAAAUAAGGGCUUACUCCAAUGCUGCGUGGACUGGUGGAAACCUCUGCGUCCGUAACAGCGUUCAGGCUAUAUACACUUAUUCGGGAUGUUAUGAUCACGUUCCGGUGGUUCAGUCGUGCAUCUUAGAGGUGGGAAUGUUCACUAGCUCCGCUCGAUACUACGAAUCCAUCCAUCCAUCCAUCCAGCAAGCGCGCUGAUGAUGUGGCUACCCGUCAAUUCCUUGAUGACAACCUAUUCGAUCGCAUGGCACGCUCUACUCAGAGAAUCGAGCAGUUAAGCAAGCAGAUAACGCCAACGUCACAUUUACUGUCCCAAGUGUGGCGCGAGGCCGUACAACCACCUUGCUUAGAGUUUUCGAGUCGGGCUUGUGAAAACCAGAUGUUAGCACCAGCGAUCGCGGCAAUCGAGAAGGUAGCGCCAAAGACCAGGUUUGAAGCUCCACCACUCUAUACGCCACUGUUUAGCGAUGCCCUCAUUCCUCAAAAGACUUCAUUGUCUACAAUCCACACCCCACCGGAUACUGAACGUUGUCCGGGAAGACGACUGUUCGACGACGCGUCAACAAACACACCCCCCCACGAUACCGCUAUCCUCACUGCCAGCCCCACUUCAUGAAUCCAUUCCUGGAAAAGUAAACACAUCAGAAGGUCAACGAUUAUGGUGACAGGUGCGAGCACGCGAUCAUUUGGAAGUAACUCCCUAGGUGCAUUACCAUGGUCUCUUCAGAACGCCAACACCUGACAACAUCCCGAGCCGAUUAAUCUUUUAAACUCUUGAAAAAUCAUUCUUAACAUAUAACGGUAGCGAGUUAUUACAUUUUGCGUUCUUAUUUUUUAACCUAUGCCGUCGUAUAGACACUUAAAAAAGUGUUUAUACGACGGCAUAGGCUACAGGGUAAAUUAGUGUCUUAAGGAUACAGCCAAUGAGCACGAUCAUAUUAACCCGUAGCUGUAAGUCAAUAACAAGUGGAUUCCCUGGCGUUUGUAACGUUUUCCUUCUUAGCUUGAAUUAUAGUCUUCGAAUCGUUCCCUGUAAAACGCUAGAAUCAUACAAACGCGAUCGACGCUUUAGACGUAACAAAUAAAUUAAACGAACGUUCUAUACAAUGAUGGCGUACUAAUUUACACAUUGGAGCCUUCAUAGUAAUGGAUGCAGCACAUGACUUCAAUGGAUUUUUGUUUUAAUUUUUAUAAGCGAUGUAGGGUCGUAGUAAAUUCCAAAAUGCUAUACCGGCAAAUGAAAAAAGGGGGAGCCGUUUGAAAACUAGACUCAGCUCUGAGCCGGAUGCGGUACCCCUUUCGUUCUUUUAAAACAGACGUCUUCUCUCUUACUUAUUCAU